GGAAAGUUCUUUGCGAGUGCCUGCAUCAUCCGUUCAACAGUAUCCUUACCUUUAGCUCUGGAGACCUUGACGAUCCACCAUUGGGGACCCAUUACCGCGAGUUUGUCGAGGUUAAGCUCUUCCUUCCAAGAGUUAAACUGCUUCUUUGGUUUCUUCAAUAGCCUUUCUUCCACGUCUUCCCUCCAAUUAUACGAUUUGUUUUCCUCUCUUUUCACGUUCCUCAACUCUCUCUUCUCUUUCGCAGUUAGAAUUUCCGCUUUUUCGUCGACCGAGGUUUGAAGAGUUGCCCGGAUUGGUUGAAAAACAACGCCGACGUUGGUGGGUUUUGUGAUGGUUGUGGGAAAGGGGAGACAUGGACGACGCCAUGAGAGAAGAAGCUCUUGGUUCAUCCU
RNAcentral lists this long non-coding RNA (392 nucleotides) under Lactuca sativa (garden lettuce). Its description in RNAcentral is "long non-coding RNA (LSAT_LNC001714)". The record is from RNAcentral. Lineage: Eukaryota; Viridiplantae; Streptophyta; Magnoliopsida; Asterales; Asteraceae.